GCAGAGAAAAAGGAGGAAGAGAAAAGGGAUCCGGGAAAAGGAGAGGAAGGGAGAUGCCAGAGGGGGGAAAAGACAGAACAAGAGCUAGAGAAAAGCGAGGCGAAGAGAAACGGAAAACCGGAGGGAAGAGCACAGUAAAGGCACCAGGCCUAUUCUUUGUACUUUUUCACCACAAUUACACUUUAUCACUGCAAAUCAAUGAUCAAAGAGGAAACAAGAAGCAAACAACAAAACUACAUUUCCCUUCAACUGGUUUUACUUGCAGCUUGGAUUCUACCACCAUUGUAAGUAGUAGAUAAGGGUGGACAAUUAGUCACACUUCUCCAAUUGAUGCGGACCAUUUUGACAUCUGUGAGUUUAUUAUUUAAGGACCAAAUGCUGAAGUCCUUCCUUGCUGAAGACAAUUGGAAUUUUGCCUAAGGGCUGGAGAAUUUGGCCCUCAUUAAAACUUAGCACUGCUUAAGAAACUGGUUUUGGGGUCUGCUUCUGCAGCUCCAGAAGUCAGUGGCUGGUUUGAGAACACAAAGACGGCAGGACAGGCCCUUAUAAUUCAGUGGAACUUCUGUACCAUACAUUGAACUCUGUAUUGCUUUUCAUCAAUUUAAUGGAAUUUUACUUUCUGCUACUAGUUUUUGUAUAAAAAUAAUAUGAAUAUAA
This is a long non-coding RNA of Trachemys scripta elegans, 657 nucleotides long. RefSeq lists it as uncharacterized. NCBI's taxonomy places the organism in Eukaryota, Metazoa, Chordata, Testudines, Emydidae. The record is from RefSeq and is a predicted model, not a curated record. The transcript has 2 exons.